Molecule: ribosomal RNA, 403 nt
Filed under: uncultured bacterium
Lineage: Bacteria
Description: bacterial SSU rRNA
Rfam family: Bacterial small subunit ribosomal RNA
Source: RNAcentral
UGAGGAAUUUUCCGCAAUGGGCGAAAGCCUGACGGAGCGACGCCGUGUGGGUGAUGAAGGCCUUCGGGUCUUAAAGCCCUGUCAGCAAAGACGAUAUUGACGGUAUUUGCAGAGGAAGCCCCGGCUAACUACGUGCCAGCAGCCGCGGUAAUACGUAGGGGGCGAACGUUGUCCGGAAUCAUUGGGCGUAAAGCGCAUGUAGGCGGUCUUAUAAGUCGGAUGUUUAAUCCCCGGGCUCAACCCGGGUUCGCGUUCGAUACUGUAGGGCUAGAGAAAUGUAGAGGAAAGCGGAACUUCCGGUGUAGCGGUGAAAUGCGUAGAUAUCGGAAGGAACACCAGUGGCGAAGGCGGCUUUCUGGCCAUUUUCUGACGCUGAGAUGCGAAAGCUAAGGGAGCAAACGGG